This 253-nucleotide long non-coding RNA is filed under the name Malus domestica (apple). Its description in RNAcentral is "long non-coding RNA (MDOM_LNC012919)". Lineage: Eukaryota; Viridiplantae; Streptophyta; Magnoliopsida; Rosales; Rosaceae. The record is from RNAcentral.
GAGAGUCUUUGGCCAAAGCAUAAGAAUAUGACUUAGGAAGUUUGUUCCAAAUCAUAUUCAAUUGAAUCAUAUAGAUAAAUAUCACAUUGGAUAGUAGACAUGAAACAAACUAUCACCUAAAACAAUGUGCUUAAGAGUAUUGAAUUAGAGAAUGACCGUAUUGCAUUGUAGUUGUAACUGGAUAGGUUCUCCAACCACUUCUUCUUAGCUUGGGUAACCAUGAUAUGCUGCUAGGUGUCACUCAUGGUUUGUG